This 63-nucleotide transfer RNA is filed under the name Singapora shinshana. Its description in RNAcentral is "tRNA-Tyr". The record is from RNAcentral. Lineage: Eukaryota; Metazoa; Arthropoda; Insecta; Hemiptera; Cicadellidae.
AUUAAGAUGUCUGAUUUAAGUAGUAAAUUGUAAAUUUACUUAAGGAUUAACAUCCUCUUAAUA